AUUGAACGCUGGCGGCAUGCCUUACACAUGCAAGUCGAACGGUAACGCGGGGCAACCUGGCGACGAGUGGCGAACGGGUGAGUAAUACAUCGGAACGUGCCCAGUAGUGGGGGAUAGCCCGGCGAAAGCCGGAUUAAUACCGCAUACGACCUACGGGUGAAAACAGGGGAUCGCAAGACCUUGCGCUAUUGGAGCGGCCG
Molecule: ribosomal RNA, 200 nt
Filed under: uncultured bacterium
Lineage: Bacteria
Description: partial 16S ribosomal RNA
Rfam family: Bacterial small subunit ribosomal RNA
Source: RNAcentral